AAUAGGCAUGUGCCAUUUAGAAGGUCGCACAGCGAGCCUCGAAACAUGCCAGAACCUUAACGAGAAACACUGAAAUGCAGAAGAAAUCAGAAGGAACCGCGCUCCCAACACGCACGGCCCCGCCACGCAGCAGCAUCCUAUGGGGCAGGGAGCAGCCAAUGCUCGUGGGGCUGCUCACAGGGAAGUGAACGCUGCCUUUCAUAAAAGCUGACUCCUCUACCCCAAAUAAAAAACAUUCCCUGCCUUGAAGAACAACAUUUUUUUAAUUAUUAUUUCAAAGUACCCUGUUCAGCAGCAGAGCAUACAAAUACUCAUAGCUACGCAAAUAGCAACUCUUUAUUUGCUUUGUUUGCUCAGCUAAUAUUGACUUUCCAGCCUAACACUGCUGCUAUUGAGUUUGGCUAUUCACAGUACUGUUUGACUAGCAUUAGAACAGCGCGGCGAUAACAGCAUGUGCAACCGAAAAAGCAAUCCAUCGCCCCUCCGUGGGACAGUGCCAUUAUGACAGAGGGGGAAAAAAAACCGUCUGCUUAUUCAGUCAAGUACAACUGUUGAAUGCUACGCUGGCAAUGACACUCCUGGCUAGUGCAAACAACCCAAGGUUACAGCGUUAGUGUGUACUCGCGCAAAGCAAACACUACAGAGCGGUUCCGUUGCUGCCCGUCGCCUUGGGCAGGACCCAGGGGUUCGUUCCCUGCCUGGGGUCAGUGUGUGCUGCCCUGUGCCAAGGCUCCUCCCAGCCGUGUGCGUGCUGUGGAGUGGAUGGGCAGACACGGAUGGAUGGAUGGGACCCCUCUGUGGGGGGAAGCAGGGCGAGAGCGCUGCGGAAGGGACGAGGUGGUUGUAGAGAGGUGCUGGGCACGGCCACCUCCCAACUUCCUCGUGCUGAGUUUUCCCAUGAGCAGUGAAUGCCAAGCAGCCUCUAACCCAGAGCAUCCAGGUUAAUUACUCAUUAAUAGCACUGAAACACCCUUCACAUUCUCCAGGAAAUGUAUUCCAGCCAGCACGAAAGGCAACGCAAUGCUCUGAUUCAUCCCAGCGUCCAGGAGAACAUCGCAGCAAUAAACUGAUAAGGAAGAACAGAUGCACAUGGAAAGCAUCCCCCGGCUUCCAGUUCCAGCCUCCCACCUCAGCCGUGCAGCCGCUCCAGAACAACAUCCAUCCCCAUCGUUCCUCUUGCUUUCAAUCCACAAUCCAGAUUUGCCCGGAGACCUAUAAGAGCUCUUAAGCUAUCUUGUCUGCUCGUGUGCAGAGGAGGGGGAGAAGAAAGCCCCACGGUGGAGAAAACAAGGCUGCGUGAAUUGGAGGGGUUAGGAAAACACUCGUACCUAUGCAGGGAAGGCACCAAGUGAUGAAUCAAUUAAAUACCUGAUGGAUUAACCUGAAGUCGGGGUGUUCUCACUGCACUUUCCAUGGCAAGCAGCUUCAAAGGACCCAAUGCGUGGUGCAG
This 1450-nucleotide long non-coding RNA is filed under the name Gallus gallus (chicken). Its description in RNAcentral is "lncRNA (ENSGALG00010020846.1)". The record is from RNAcentral. Lineage: Eukaryota; Metazoa; Chordata; Aves; Galliformes; Phasianidae.